UAAUCUGUUUGGGGCAAAUUCUCAUUUAGUUAUGGCAUACUUACACCUGACUACUCAGAAUCACGCAUACCAUAUAAACAAUAAUUUUUUGAUAUUUUAAUUGGAGU
This is a non-coding RNA of Populus trichocarpa (black cottonwood), 107 nucleotides long. The record is from Rfam. NCBI's taxonomy places the organism in Eukaryota, Viridiplantae, Streptophyta, Magnoliopsida, Malpighiales, Salicaceae.